Molecule: non-coding RNA, 681 nt
Organism: Labrus bergylta (ballan wrasse)
Lineage: Eukaryota; Metazoa; Chordata; Actinopteri; Labriformes; Labridae
Source: the annotation of a RefSeq genome assembly
AUGAUGGACUAUAGGACAGGACUGCUGCUUUUUACUGUCUGCUGGGCAGGUGUUGAUGGUCAGACUCUGACAGAAUCUGAAGCAGUGGUUAAAAGGCCUGGAGAAUCCCACAGACUGACCUGUUCAGCCUCUGGAUUCACAUUCAGCAGCUACCAUAUGAGCUGGGUCAGACAGGCUCCUGGAAAAGGACUGGAGUGGAUCGCCUGGAUUGAGAAUGAUAAUGACAGAAAAUACUACUCUCAGUCAGUUACAGGCCGGUUCACCAUCUCCAGAGACAACAGCAGACAGCAGGUGUAUCUGCAGAUGAACAGUCUGAAGACUGAAGAUUCUGCUGUUUAUUAUUGUGCCAGAGACCCACAGUGACACAGGAGGAAGUAACGCUGUACAAAAACUUAGCGUGUCAAAAAGUACACUCUCUGUGUUUCAUUUAUAGAAUAAACUUCAGUUGGAUUUAAAAAAAUUAAAGUUUCAGUUCUUGUGCAUCUCUGGUAUUCUGUCACAUGUUGUUAAAGAAAACUGAUAAAAUCUCAUAUUUAGUGGAUCUGACUGUUAACGUGAAUCUUCUUGUUUGAAGCAGCUUGUCCUUGUAACUUUUAACUAAGGGCAUGUGUCGUCCCCACAACCACAGCCUGACGCCCAGCCUCCACCAUCCGACUGUGUCGACCCUACAACCACCGCCGU